Molecule: long non-coding RNA, 662 nt
Organism: Lolium perenne
Lineage: Eukaryota; Viridiplantae; Streptophyta; Magnoliopsida; Poales; Poaceae
Source: RefSeq, a predicted model, not a curated record
GCAGUAUGCAUUAUCAUGUCUGCCAAAGAAUAGUGAAAAAGCAGUAACUGUAAAGCAUACUACAUCACUGCCUCUUUUUGAAAGAAAAAAAAAGUUAAACGUUAAAUUAUCAUUCAUGUCAUUUAUAGUAGCCAUCUAUUUUCAUCUCUGAUGCAACAAAUUAUAUUUGAUUCAGUAAAAUGCCAAUUGAACAAGACGAAUUCACGACUCUUUUCAUGUAUGUGCUCAGACUAGGGCCACGGUUGGAGGGUGCUGCUGCAAGUGGAUCAGGCCCACCUUCGAAGAAGAAAGUUGUAAUGCUGGUACUCCGUGUAAACGACAACAGGCACCCUACCAAAACUGGAUGAUGAAGUUUGUCGCCUGGAAGGUAUCUCCGAAGACAGAACUUUCCACACCUCCAAAGACAGUACCACCGCGGAUUGUUGAUUCAAUUUUUGUGUGUUUUUUGCAAGUUUUUUCAGUGACAUAUCAUGGGCUAAGUAGUAAGUACCACCAACACCUACAAAUCACCUGAAGUUUUUCUCUUUCUGAAGCAACAUGACUAAAUUAGUCUGUGCACUAUUAGCACUAAGGUGUCAUGGAACGAAUAAGUCAAUACAUUAUGCAUAAUAACUAGUUGUCCUUCUGCUACACCUACCAUGUAAAGCAGUUUCGUUUGAGAA